GAUGAACGCUGGCGGCGUGCCUAAUACAUGCAAGUCGAGCGAACGGACGAGAAGCUUGCUUCUCUGAUGUUAGCGGCGGACGGGUGAGUAACACGUGGAUAACCUACCUAUCAGACUGGGAUAACUUCGGGAAACCGUAGCUAAUACCGGAUAAUAUUUUGAACCGCAUGGUUCAAAAGUGAAAGACGGUCUUGCUGUCACUUAUAGCUGGAUACGCGCUGCAUUAGCUAGUUGGUAAGGUAACGGCUUACCAAGGCAACGAUGCAUAGCCGACCUGAGAGGGGGAUCGGCCACACUGGAGCUGAAACACGGACCAGACGCCUACGGGAGGCCGCAGUAGGGAAUCGUCCGCAGUGGGCGAGAGCCUGACGGAGCAACGCCGCGUGUGUGAUGAAGGUCUUCGGAGCGUAAAACUCUGUUAUUAGUGAAGAACAGAUGUGUAAUGAACUGUGCAGAGCGUGACGGUACCGAGUCAGAAAGCCACGGCUAACUACGUG
Molecule: ribosomal RNA, 497 nt
Filed under: uncultured bacterium
Lineage: Bacteria
Description: partial 16S ribosomal RNA
Rfam family: Bacterial small subunit ribosomal RNA
Source: RNAcentral